RNAcentral lists this transfer RNA (92 nucleotides) under Nitrosopumilales archaeon. RNAcentral's name for it is "tRNA-Trp". It matches the Rfam family "tRNA". Rfam says of the family: Transfer RNA (tRNA) molecules are approximately 80 nucleotides in length. Their secondary structure includes four short double-helical elements and three loops (D, anti-codon, and T loops). Lineage: Archaea; Thermoproteati; Nitrososphaerota; Nitrososphaeria; Nitrosopumilales. The record is from RNAcentral. RNAcentral also lists the same sequence under 2 other names.
GCCGGAGUAGCUCAGCUGGCCUAGAGUGCCAGUCUCCACAAAGGGUAAUACUCAUAAUCUGGAGGUCGUGGGUUCGAAACCCACCUCCGGCA